Molecule: ribosomal RNA, 488 nt
Filed under: uncultured bacterium
Lineage: Bacteria
Description: partial 16S ribosomal RNA
Rfam family: Bacterial small subunit ribosomal RNA
Source: RNAcentral
GACGAACGCUGGCGGCGUGCUUAACACAUGCAAGUCGAACGCGCCUGUCCUCUGGGUUUCUGGGGGGUGGGUGAGUGGCGAACGGGUGAGUAACACGUGAGUAACCUGCCCCCUUCUUCGGGAUAACGGUCUGAAAGGGCUGCUAAUACCGGGUAUUCACUGGUCUCCGCAUGGGGUCUGGUGGAAAGGUUUUUUUCUGGUGGGGGAUGGGCUCGCGGCCUAUCAGCUUGUUGGUGGGGUGAUGGCCCACCAAGGCUUUGACGGGUAGCCGGCCUGAGAGGGUGACCGGUCACAUUGGGACUGAGAUACGGCCCAGACUCCUACGGGAGGCAGCAGUGGGGAAUAUUGCACAAUGGGCGCAAGCCUGAUGCAGCGACGCCGCGUGAGGGAUGGAGGCCUUCGGGUUGUGAACCUCUUUCGCCCGUGGUCAAGCCGCGACGUGGGUCGCGGUGAGGGUAGUGGGUAAAGAAGCGCCGGCUAACUACGUG